UUAGAAAAUUAGAGUUGAAUAGUUGUUGAUUCUAGAUCAACAAUUUUGAGAGGAGUGCUGUUGUUGCACUUUGUAAAGACUAGUUGAAGCAAUAAAGUUGAGAGCAUUCCAUCUACAGAUUCUGCUUUCAUCUAACGGUAUUUCUCUGGAUCUCGACGAUCUGAUUGACGGCACAGGAGCAACACGAUCAAGUUAAUUUCAGGAGCGGCGUAACCAGAUUGGCGGCAUAGGACGGCGUUACCAGAGGUAAUCGCAGGAGCGGCUAACCAGAGUUGUGACUCUGAGAAGUGAAAAAAGUUCCGAUUUUGAAAAAAAAGAAAACUGGAAACGAUGCACGUGGUUUCGGUCAUCUCGGAACCGUACGUGGCAGGUCCUGGACUGAACGUGCAGAAACUUACCGAGGCCGGCGCGACAAGAUCUCUCGCAAGAUUGCCGGCCACCUCGACAAACUCUUCAAAAAACUGAUAAACUGUGAACCGCUUGUGUAACUUAAUCAAACAUGCAAUAAUACCAGUUUUGUCGGCUCGAGGGGUUUUGACAGUCUUAAAAUUAACUUGUUGGUCGGUCCGUUUGAUCAUAUAUAUAUAUGCACACACAAUCGCUCCAUUUCAUAUAUGCAGUGUACUAGCACAUGCAACUACGCUGAUCGAAUGCGUGUAUCGGUUACGUACAGUGUACAUGUACUCA
Long non-coding RNA from Oryza brachyantha (malo sina), 687 nucleotides. RefSeq lists it as uncharacterized. NCBI's taxonomy places the organism in Eukaryota, Viridiplantae, Streptophyta, Magnoliopsida, Poales, Poaceae. The transcript has 3 exons. The record is from RefSeq and is a predicted model, not a curated record.